UCGAAAAGCAAAUCGGUUUGACCCUUUUUGAUAAACCCGUCUUCAUUUUCCCAAAAAAAAAAUCUAGACAUUUCCCCCAAAUCACAAAGCAAGAGGAAACCCGCAUGCUUCUUCAUCGCCGACAUUUGGACCACUGAUCGGCGCGCACCAUUGGCCACCGUGCGAAGACGACAGCCCACCAAAACCCAACGUCAAAAUAGCAUUUGAAGACGGCAGUCGAAUCGUAGAUGCUAGGCAAAGGUAUUUUGUUAAUUACUGAUUUAUGCAUUUCUUUAUCAAAUUUAAGGUUAAUUUAUGGUUAAGCUGUCUUAGACUUGUUUACAUGAUUUGGGUGUUAUUUCCUCUUUAUUUAGACAAAUUUGAAGUACGUUGGUUGUGGAGCCUGACCGUUGAUAAAGUUGAAGUAUUUGAUUUCUUGUUCUUCCUAAAUUAGUGAGAUUUUUCAUAAAUUUCUGAGUCUGAUUGUUAAGUUCAUUUUUCAUAAAGAGGGGUAUUUUGUUCUAGGCAAAGGUAUUUUUCAAAAAUUUCUGGGCAAAGGUAUUUUGUUCAUUUUUCAAUAAAGGGGUAUUUUUCGUAUAGAGUAUACUUAAGUAUGCCUACUUUUGUUAAGCUACCAUACGAAUUAUGCUGAAGUGUGCCUACUUUUGUAUGCUAAGCAUGAAGGCAAUUCUGGUUUCAUUGAGGUUGAAUGCAGCCAUAUCCUCUGCGUGUUCAUAAAUGGCAUAAGAAUAGAAGCCCGAAGAAUCACGAAGCAUUAUGAACAUGAAGCAUGUAUCAUAAUAUAAGCACCAAUUCUUUAUAAUAAAACACAACAAUGAUAUCAAGAUUAUAAGCAGCAGCAGUACUGCAAUGAUGCACCUUUUGUCUAUGGGGAAGGGAGCAUGUUAGCCCCCAAAUGAGGGAUCCCAUGUCCUUUUGAAUGAGACUUCUAUUUGUUCCUCAUUUUCCACUAUAACUUUGUUUGUAAUGUGUUGUUAUUCUUAAGUUUGAAUGUGGGAUUUCAAAUCUUAGUUGCAUUCAUGUGAGAUUAUUUGUUUCGUUAGCAGUUGUUGAGUAGAAUUGAUGUGUGUUUUUUCACAUUUAUUUAGGUCACAAACAUGACUUAAAAACGAGCAAAAUGAUUGAAUUGUGACUUAAUCUUGUACAUUUGUGAAUUGUAGGGAACAACGAUGAGCAUGGUGAAAUUCAGGAUAAAAGACGCGAAAAUUGACUAAAGUGACGCAAAGUGAAAGUUCAGGGACCAAAAGUGCAAAUAUCCAAAAGUUGAUCCGAUAGACAAAUCGAGAAAUCGAUUAGGCCAAUUACCAAUUGACGAUAUCGUGGGGUGAUGAAAUGAAAAGAAUGAAGAGAAGAUGCUAAGAAGUGAAUGAUACAAGUGGGAGGACCAAAACACACUUAUUUCAUAGUUGAUAGUACUAUCCUCUAUACGGUCGCAUAGUACCAUACCGAAACCAAAGAGGGUUGAAAAGUUUACUCUAUGCGACCGCAUAGAAUUGCAAUAUUGAGGAAAAAUUUAGUUUCAUUUUUCUUCCGAAACUCUUAUGGAAAUAACAAUUUUAGGGUCCUCUAAAUACAAAAACUCGACCAGAACAUAGGGGACGCCAUUUUUACAUAUUUUUGGGAGUUUUUGAAGGAGAAACGAGAGAGAGAACAAGAGAACAAUAUCGCGCCAAGUGAAGAUCGGAUUGAAGAUUGAUUCGGGUGAUGUCGUUUCUUCAAAUAUUUUUAAGUUUUGUUCUUUUUGGCAUGUUAGGCUAGAUUUAUUACUACUAGGAGAUCGAUGAACCUUGUAAUACUACAUUUAAUUGUUGUUUUGAAUUUUUGACGUAUGUGAACACAAAUUUCGGAAUUGAUUGAUUUAUUUCGUUUUUAUUUUCAUAUAAUUAUUGUGCACGUAAUUAUAUGAUUGUGGUGACCUAUUU
This 1922-nucleotide long non-coding RNA is filed under the name Olea europaea subsp. europaea. Lineage: Eukaryota; Viridiplantae; Streptophyta; Magnoliopsida; Lamiales; Oleaceae. The record is from RNAcentral.